Schistosoma haematobium is the source of this 45-nucleotide non-coding RNA. The record is from Rfam. Lineage: Eukaryota; Metazoa; Platyhelminthes; Trematoda; Strigeidida; Schistosomatidae.
AUCUAAUUGACGAGUUCCAAAUAGGACGAAACGCGUGUCAUGGAU